UUGCAUUAGAAUUAGAAUCUAAUUAUACUAAAAUUACUCCCUCUAUCAUAUUAAUAACAAUU
RNAcentral lists this transfer RNA (62 nucleotides) under Nesticus furtivus. RNAcentral's name for it is "tRNA-Leu". The record is from RNAcentral. Lineage: Eukaryota; Metazoa; Arthropoda; Arachnida; Araneae; Nesticidae.